GGCUUUAUUUUUAACUCUCUGGCUGUUAAAGUUUGAACAUGUUAGUUUUUCUUUCCCAGAGCAGAGCUUUUGAGAUCCAUAAGGGGAAAUCUGUUGACGAGGAUACAGGACAACAACAUGUCACAAGGUCCAUGCUGGGUAAAGCAUGGCUCUGGUUGAUGAAGAUCUUCACUAGGACAUGUCUAGCAAGAAGUUGCUGUGGCCAAAGUCCAGAGGUGGCUUCCCAGGCUCUCCUCUAGGAUUUUGAUGGAAUCCUGUCUCACACUGAAGGCCUUCAUCCAUUUUGAAUCUAUUUUUGUGUGUGGUGUAUGGAAAUGGUCCAGUUUUAUUCUUCUGCAUGUGGCUGUCCUAUUUCCCCAACACCACUUGUUGAAGAGACUGUCUUUUGUUCAUUGGAUCUUCUUUCCUGCUUUGUUGAAGAUUAGAUGACCACAGAGUUGGGGGUCCAUUUCUGGGGUCUCUAUUCUGUUCCAUUGAUUUGUGUGUUUGUUUUUUUGCCAGUACCAUAAUGUCUUGAUGAUGACAGCUUUGUAAUAGAUCUUGAAGUCUGGCAUUGAGACGCUGCUAGUUUUGUUUUCUUUCACAACAUUCCUUUGGCUAUCUGGGGCCUUUUCUGUUUCCAUACAAAUUUUAGGAUUAUUUGUUCUAGCUCUGUGAAAAAAAGGGUGUUCUAGUAGGGAUUGCGUGGAAUGUAUAGAUUGCUCUAGGUAGCAUAGAUGUUUUAACAUUUGUUCUUCCAGUCCAUGAGCAUGGAAUGUUUUCCUUUCCUUUCCUUUUUAAAAUUUUAUUUUAUUUAUGACAGAGAGAGAUAGCAAGAGAGGGAGC
RNAcentral lists this long non-coding RNA (825 nucleotides) under Mustela putorius furo (domestic ferret). Its description in RNAcentral is "lncRNA (ENSMPUG00000028839.1)". Lineage: Eukaryota; Metazoa; Chordata; Mammalia; Carnivora; Mustelidae. The record is from RNAcentral.